CCCGACAGCCGGUCUCGCGAAUGACCAGUGAAGNAGACAGGCUCAACCCAACGCGGUAAGUAGGCCUAACACAUAGCAAGUCGAACGGCAGCACAGGAGAGCUAUGCUCUCUGGGUAGGCGAGUGGCGGACGGGUAGAGGAAUACAUACGGAAUCUACUCUAGUCGGGGGGAUAACGUAGUGGAAACUUACGCUAAUACCGCAUACGACCUACGGGUAGAAAGCAGGGACCUAUCGGGCCGUAGCGCGAUAUGAAUAGAGCCGAUAGUACGGAUAUAGCUAGUAUAGCGGGGUAAAGGCCCACCAGGGGCGACGAUCCGUAGCUGGUACUAGAGAGGAUGAUCAGCCACACUGGAACUAGAGACACGGUCCAGACUACCUACGGGAGUGCAGCAGUGGGGAAUAUUGGACAAUUGGGCGCAAGCCUGAUCCAGCCAUACCGCGUAGGGUAGAAGAAGUGCCUAUCGGGUAUGUAAAGGCCUUUAAGUAGGGAAAGAAAUCCAGCUGGCUAAUACCCCGGGUAUGGGAUGACGGUACCCGAAAGAAANAAGCACCCGGCUAACUAACGUGCCCAGCCAGCCCGCGGUAACAUACGAAGGGGUGCCAAGGCCGUAAACACGGAAUAACCUGGGCGUAAAACGCGNAGCGGUAGNAGUCCGAUAAGGACGGNGUUGACAAAAGGCCCCUGGGCUCAACCCUGGGGAAACUGNCAGGUAGGGANACCUGGGCCGGACUAGNAAGGCGGACAGAAGGGGUAACCGGAANUUCCCUGGGGAAGCAAGUGAAAUGCGUCGAACUCCACGACGGAACACUCCNUGCGAAAGGCACGGCACCGGGGCCACAGAGCACCGAGGGCACCAAAUUGGGGAGACNAACAGGAAAAACACCGANACCACACCCGAAGAAGGUACGCGNUACAGGAGGAAGGCGCCCANAACAACGUACACCCCCUGGGGAGCGACAAA
RNAcentral lists this ribosomal RNA (964 nucleotides) under uncultured bacterium. RNAcentral describes it as "bacterial SSU rRNA". The stretch from base 53 to 603 matches the Rfam family "Bacterial small subunit ribosomal RNA", at positions 39 to 535 of the family's 1533-position model. The record is from RNAcentral.